GAUGAACGCUGGCGGCGUGCCUAAUACAUGUAAGUCGAGCGAACAGACGAGGAGCUUGCUCCUCUGACGUUAGCGGCGGACGGGUGAGUAACACGUGGAUAACCUACCUAUAAGACUGGGAUAACUUCGGGAAACCGGAGCUAAUACCGGAUAAUAUAUUGAACCGCAUGGUUCAAUAGUGAAAGACGGUUUUGCUGUCACUUAUAGAUGGAUCCGCGCCGCAUUAGCUAGUUGGUAAGGUAACGGCUUACCAAGGCAACGAUGCGUAGCCGACCUGAGAGGGUGAUCGGCCACACUGGAACUGAGACACGGUCCAGACUCCUACGGGAGGCAGCAGUAGGGAAUCUUCCGCAAUGGGCGAAAGCUUGACGGAGCAACGCCGCGUGAGUGAUGAAGGUCUUCGGAUCGUAAAACUCUGUUAUUAGGGAAGAACAAAUGUGUAAGUAACGAUGCACGUCUUGACGGUACCGAAGCAGAAAGCCACGGCUAACUACGU
RNAcentral lists this ribosomal RNA (496 nucleotides) under uncultured bacterium. RNAcentral describes it as "partial 16S ribosomal RNA". It matches the Rfam family "Bacterial small subunit ribosomal RNA", at positions 28 to 506 of the family's 1533-position model. The record is from RNAcentral.